RNAcentral lists this transfer RNA (87 nucleotides) under Paracoccaceae bacterium. RNAcentral describes it as "Rhodobacteraceae bacterium tRNA-Leu". It matches the Rfam family "tRNA". From Rfam's summary of the family: Transfer RNA (tRNA) molecules are approximately 80 nucleotides in length. Lineage: Bacteria; Pseudomonadati; Pseudomonadota; Alphaproteobacteria; Rhodobacterales; Paracoccaceae. The record is from RNAcentral.
GCGAGCGUGGUGGAAUAGGUAGACACGCCAGACUUAAAAUCUGUUGGCCGUAUGGCCGUGGGGGUUCAAGUCCCCCCGCUCGCACCA